CCACCCCUCUGAUUAAAGCACAAUAUCAGACUGUCUGUUAGUCAGGACUGUCAAACCAACAUCACUGUUCCUUCAGUUCUCACUCAUUCACAGUAAAGAUGACAGCACACGCUCUCAUUAUCUGCUCUCUUCUGCUUUUCACUGCUGAGUGUGAUGGACAGAUCACAGUCACUCAGAGUCCCUCAAUAACAGCAGCUCAACCAGGACAAGAACUUAAAAUAAACUGUAAAACCAGCAGUAGAGUGUAUGGUGGUGUUAGUUUAGCCUGGUACUUACAGAAAUCUGGAGAAGCUCCUAAACUCCUCAUUUAUCUGGCCAACAGAGUGCAGUCUGGAACUCCAUCUAGAUUCAGUGGCAGUGGAUCUGAUAGUGAUUUCACUCUGACCAUCAGUGGAGUCCAGACUGAAGAUGCAGGACAUUAUUACUGUCAGAGUGUACACGAGGUCAGUGGCAGCUAUGUGUUCACACAGUGAUAAAGAGUCGUACAAAAACCUCUGUCAGUCACACUGCACUGAUACACUGACAGAUA
Non-coding RNA from Myxocyprinus asiaticus (Chinese sucker), 529 nucleotides. The record is from the annotation of a RefSeq genome assembly. NCBI's taxonomy places the organism in Eukaryota, Metazoa, Chordata, Actinopteri, Cypriniformes, Catostomidae.